UAUACGGCGCGUAUGAUAAAGAAGAUCGAGUGCUGGCAUCCGCGCUGUACUCGUGUUACCUGAUGUCAAAGGAGCUGGGUGAACAAGUUGAAACUUGUAGCUUAAAUAAGUAUGAACAGUUACUCGUGGAGAAAGACGUAGACACCGUUGACGGUUAAAAAUCAUCAUCAUAAUUUCGAAGGUGUAGCACUAAAAGCGAUGCCUGCUAAGUACUUUGAACAUGUCGAAUAAUUUAACAAACGUUAACGAAGAUGAUUUAUUCUACCCUUAC
Long non-coding RNA from Pectinophora gossypiella (pink bollworm), 271 nucleotides. RefSeq lists it as uncharacterized. Lineage: Eukaryota; Metazoa; Arthropoda; Insecta; Lepidoptera; Gelechiidae. The transcript is spliced from 3 exons. The record is from RefSeq and is a predicted model, not a curated record.